This 495-nucleotide ribosomal RNA is filed under the name uncultured bacterium. RNAcentral describes it as "bacterial SSU rRNA". It matches the Rfam family "Bacterial small subunit ribosomal RNA", at positions 36 to 524 of the family's 1533-position model. The record is from RNAcentral.
AUGCCUGGCGGCAGGCCUACCAUGCAAGUCGAGCGGAUGAAGAGAGCUUGCUCUCUGAUUCAGCGGCGGACGGGUGAGUAAUGCCUAGGAAUCUGCCUGGUAGUGGGGGACAACGUCUCGAAAGGGACGCUAAUACCGCAUACGUCCUACGGGAGAAAGCAGGGGACCUUCGGGCCUUGCGCUAUCAGAUGAGCCUAGGUCGGAUUAGCUAGUUGGUGAGGUAAUGGCUCACCAAGGCGACGAUCCGUAACUGGUCUGAGAGGAUGAUCAGUCACACUGGAACUGAGACACGGUCCAGACUCCUACGGGAGGCAGCAGUGGGGAAUAUUGGACAAUGGGCGAAAGCCUGAUCCAGCCAUGCCGCGUGUGUGAAGAAGGUCUUCGGAUUGUAAAGCACUUUAAGUUGGGAGGAAGGGCAGUAAGCGAAUACCUUGCUGUUUUGACGUUACCGACAGAAUAAGCACCGGCUAACUCUGUGCCAGCAGCCGCGGUAAU